GGCGAGGGCCGCUGGGGAGUUGGGGUGAGAAGAGUGACCGGGCUUAGGGAAGGGAGUUCGGACUGCUAGGUUUUGUCUCUGGAAGGUGGAGGUCUGUGUGCCUGAGGAAAACCAAGGGUGCCAGAGGGGUGGUAGCUAGCUGUGAGUCCUUUGUUACUGCCCUUGGCGAGGGAAGGUGGCCCAGGGCGGUGGUGAUGCAAGAGAGCUGGGGGUCUUGGAUUCUAGAUCUUCCUGUUUCCCUGACCCACCAGCCUCCUCCAAAAGGAGUCUUGGUUGGAAGGCAGCAGAAGCCAGACCUAGAGGAGGAGCGGUUUUCCCCCUAUGGAGCAUUGCCUCUUUCCUAGGGUUGGCUAUUUUUAUCCCAGAUGUGGCUGCAGAGGGGGCUGGGGCUGGGGCAGGGCGACGGGGCAGGGCGACGUGGCUGAUGGGCCUGACCAGUUCAGACAACCCAGGCUGUGUGAGACUGGGAAGGAGAAGUGAGAAGGGGUCCCUGUUGCCAGCCAUCUCCCUCCCUCUCCCUUCCUAUGACUGCCCCCAGAGGGGAUGGGAUCUGGGGCCAAGUGCGCUUUUUCUCUCCCCAGGGUAUUAGAGGUAAAACAACUUUCCUGAUCCAAGUCCAGACUCCUGACUCCUGGCUGCCCAGCUCCUUCAUUAACUCUUCCAUAGGCUGCAGACCCAGAUCUUUGGACCUGCAGUGUUUCUUGCUCACUCCCUCCCCAGGGUCCUGGCUGGCUACUGAACCUAUGAUGCCCACCAUGCGUCCUCUUCUUUAACCUCUCCCUGCAUACCCCACCCUUCAUGACUCAUACUCUAGACUGGGUGGAGACCCUGGCUGGGGGCCCUAGAAGAGGACUUGGCAUCUCUAAAAUGUGGAUGAAGUUUUUCUUCCUGAGCCAGGCACCCUUGCCUGCUGCAGUUGGGGAGGAUCAGGGAUGAAAAGGACUUCUGCUCUUGGUAUUGCCUGGUCUGGGGUCAGGAAGGGAGUGUGUGCUAGUGAAGGGAGAAUUGGUGGCCAGAGUCUGCAAUUAUAGAGGUUGGGCAGACAGGCAAUUAGUAUCUCUUGGGGCUGACAGGCUGGUGGGUGUGCCCAUAGGCUGCAGGCAGGGGAACCAAAGAGGAGGUGGAAGGCUAACCCUUCCACCCAGACAAAAAAAGAGGAGGUUACUGACUGGCAGCUUUUUUUGGACCAGGCUGGAGAAUAGGGUUGAGGCUCUGUGAGCCUGUCUUGUAGGCCAGGCCUUAUGCCUUUUUAGGAAAAAGAAAGGACACAGGAAGGUGGAAGGAAGCAGAGACUUGUGUGACUGAUGCUCCUUGGCCUGCACUGAGCUUCAGGCUGAUUGGACUAGGCACAGAGUGGGAGAGAGCAGGGGUGACUCUCUGACAGGAUAGGAAGACCCCUCUGCUGGCCCAGAAGGGUGGCUGACCCAGAUUGAGAGGAAGCGGUUUGGGGAUUGUCUGUGCAGGAAGUGAAGGCCAUGCGUCUAAUGUGAACUCAAUGUGGAGGAGGUGAUAAUGGAAACCCCAGUAAUGGGGUGAGCUGGGGGAAUGAUGAGCAUUUUGAGAAGGGUGGAGCCUGCCCACCCUAUUUCCUGAUGCCCUGCCAGGUGCUUCCUGGCUGUGUUCCCUCCACCCCACCCUUUUGGGGAUAUUCUGCUUUCUAGUACAUGAACAACUCAUUGCCACCAGGAAUACAGUCACCACACAUUGUCAUCAGGAAUAUAGGCACACAUUGUCUGUCAGCAGGGGAGCACAUGAAGCAUCUAUGGUACCUUGAAAGCUGUGCUUUUUUUUUUUUGUACCUGUAUUAACCCAGGGGCAUUUAACCACUGAGCCACAUCCCCAGGCCUCGAUCCCCCUUUUUAAGAAAGGGAAUCCAGCAGCUUGUAAUCAUUAUUUUUUUAAAGAAGAUGGACACAAUACCUUUAUUUUACCCAUUUAUUCAUUUUUUAAGUAUGCUGAGGAUUGAAGCCAGUGCCUCACAUAUGCUAGGUAAGCGCUCUACCACUGAGCUACAACCCCAGCCUCCAAGCCCUUUUUAAUAUUUUAUUUAGAGACACGGUCUUGCUGAGUUGCUCAGGGCCUCCCUAAAUUUCUGAGGCUGGCUUUGAACUCCUGAUCAUCCUGCCUCAGCCUCCUGAGCUGCUGGGAUUCCAGGCACGUGCCACUCGCUCGCGUGAAGCUGUGCCCUUCUUACCUGGCCUAUUCUCCUAGACCCCUUUCCCACAGGCCUUGACUUCUGUAAACUCUCAGUUCUUCCCUCCUUCCAUGUUAUCCAAAGCAGAAGGGAUGGCCUCUUUUCUCAGGUACUGGACAGGGCAGAAAGACGAGAGUGUUGGUUGGGAGGGAUGGAGGGGUCAGGAUCAGUGCUGGAGAAGAGAACCUUCAGGAAGGGCCUAAUG
RNAcentral lists this long non-coding RNA (2399 nucleotides) under Marmota monax (woodchuck). The record is from RNAcentral. Lineage: Eukaryota; Metazoa; Chordata; Mammalia; Rodentia; Sciuridae.